AGAGUUUGAUCCUGGCUCAGGAUGAACGCUGGCGGCGUGCUUAACACAUGCAAGUCGAACGGAGUGCCUUCGGGUACUUAGUGGCGGACGGGUGAGUAACGCGUGAGAAUCUGCCUUUAGGUCGGGGACAACGACUGGAAACGGUCGCUAAUACCGGAUGUGCCGAGAGGUGAAAGGUUAAUCUGCCUGAAGAUGAGCUCGCGUCGGAUUAGCUAGUUGGUGGGGUAAGGGCCUACCAAGGCGACGAUCCGUAGCUGGUUUGAGAGGAUGACCAGCCACACUGGGACUGAGACACGGCCCAGACUCCUACGGGAGGCAGCAGUGGGGAAUUUUCCGCAAUGGGCGCAAGCCUGACGGAGCAACGCCGCGUGCGGGAGGAAGGCCUGUGGGUUGUAAACCGCUUUUCUCUGGGAAGAAUAGAUGACGGUACCAGAGGAAUCAGCAUCGGCUAACUCCGUGCCAGCAGCCGCGGUAAGACGGAGGAUGCAAGCGUUAUCCGGAAUUAUUGGGCGUAAAGCGUCCGCAGGUGGUUAUACAAGUCUGCCGUUAAAGCGUGGGGCUUAACUCCAUAAGGGCGGUGGAAACUGUAGGACUAGAGUGAGGUAGGGGUAGAGGGAAUUCCCGGUGUAGCGGUGUAAUGCGUAGAUAUCGGGAAGAACACCAGUGGCGAAAGCGCUCUACUGGGCCUUAACUGACACUGAGGGACGAAAGCUAGGGGAGCGAAAGGGAUUAGAUACCCCUGUAGUCCUAGCCGUAAACGAUGGAUACUAGGUGUUGUUCGUAUCGACCCGGACAGUGCCGUAGCUAACGCGUUAAGUAUCCCGCCUGGGGAGUACGCUCGCAAGAGUGAAACUCAAA
Molecule: ribosomal RNA, 858 nt
Filed under: uncultured bacterium
Lineage: Bacteria
Description: bacterial SSU rRNA
Rfam family: Bacterial small subunit ribosomal RNA
Source: RNAcentral